RNAcentral lists this ribosomal RNA (259 nucleotides) under uncultured bacterium. RNAcentral describes it as "partial 16S ribosomal RNA". It matches the Rfam family "Bacterial small subunit ribosomal RNA", at positions 518 to 776 of the family's 1533-position model. The record is from RNAcentral.
CGGUAAUACGAAGGGGGCUAGCGUUGCUCGGAAUCACUGGGCGUCACGCGCACGUAGGCGGAUUGCUAAGUCAGAGGUGAAAGCCCGGGGCUCAACUCCGGAACUGCCUUUGAAACUAGAUAGCUUGAAUCCAGGAGAGGUGAGUGGAAUUCCGAGUGUAGAGGUGAAAUUCGUAGAUAUUCGGAAGAACACCAGUGGCGAAGGCGGCUCACUGGACUGGUAUUGACGCUGAGGUGCGAAAGCGUGGGGAGCAAACAGG